AACAAGGUAUGCCUCCCUCUUAUUAUUUCUGAAACCCUCCCUCUUCUAAAACUCUGUUCUUUUCCAAUUUUUACUCUGUUUUCUCUCUCUGAAUUUGUAUUCCAAUCUCUCCUGUUUCACACUCAUUCGAAAUUUGUACGAAUGAGUGUCUGUGUCUGUGUAACUUGAUUUUGAUUUUCAUUCAGUUGGUAAAUAGGAGAAAUUAUUCAAUGCUCGUGGAGCAAUGAUAAAUAGGCAAUUCAAGUUGUUCUGAAUCAAGUUCCUUCAAGUUGUUCUCAAUCGACAGUCGACGAUCUUCUGGAGGUAAGGAAGAGAGACUCAAACUUUUAGUCUGUUUAUUAAGACAAUGCAACCUGCGUAGCUGCGGUAUCAUUUUUCACUCAUUAUUAGAUUUUUUUUUAGUGUUUUUCUUUUUUGCGUUGGCAACUUAGUCCAAGUGUUUGUUAACUAGAUUAUUAUUUAACAAAUCCAUUUUUAUGUGCAUGUGGUGCAAUUGAUGAAUGUAUUGUACAACCUAGAUGGUGUAGGAUAUUUUCAAUUCCCACAUUAAGUAUAUAUGUCAACUGAUGAAUGUACUAUAACUUUUAAGAUUUUUGUUUGUUUUUUCCCUAAUCAAAGAUACUAGAAGUUUAUUCUUCUUGUCUUUCUUCACAAGGAAUUCUGAUUGAAGCCUGAUGGAUUAGUUACAUGUGGUAUAAUCUAUUUCUAACCAUUUGCAAUUUAUCUCUAUGCCUCAGUUACAUGGAUGUAGUUAGUUAUUUUUAACCAUGUGAGGAACUAUGCUUUUAAUCUUUGGAAGAACAAGGGAUUGAGGGAGGUACUGUCUACUACCACCAGUUUUAUAUUUUUCUUAUUUGAUUGUGUGGAAAGUAGUACUAAUGUUGUUAAGGAUGGACCCUGGUUUUUUGGGGGGCACUUUCUUGUACUAAAAAAGUGGCACAAUAUGAUGAAAUUAUCUAAGGAGAGGCUUGAUAGAAUUUUGAUUUGGAUUAAGUUGUUUAACAUUCGUUUAGAAUAUUGGGAUGAUGAUGGGCUUAGUAGGAUUUCUAGUGCUAGAAUUUCAUUUGCUAAAAUAUGUGUGGAAAUAGGAUUGGAUUCUCUUCCUACUGAUUUUCUAAUCAAAUGUGAAGAUUAGAGUGUUGAGAUUGGGGUUGAAUACCUGUGGACUCCAUCCAAGUGCUCAAAAUGUAAAGUCUUGGGGCAUAUGGAAGAUAAAUACAUCAAAACUCGAGUGGAGAAUUUGUCCAAAGAAAGUAUUUCACAGAAGGUGUAAACUUUUGGUGACUAAAAAAAGUUAGUCAUUUUAUGUUCAAUUUUUGCCGACGGCAAAAAAAAUUAGUAGCGAAAUUAUGUUUUUGACUACAAAAGAUUAGUCAUUAUUAAUUAAUAUUUGUUGACAAAUAAUAAUUUAGUUGCUAAAGGGUGAGAAAUUUUAUUACCGCAUGCCCCUCUUCUCUGUUUCACACAAACACUUUCUUCUCUGUUCUCUCUUACACACAUAGAACAGUCAACGCCAAACCUCACCUCAAGCCGCUGUGCUCGAUUAUCCGCUUUUACAAAGUAGAAGUCACAUAGCGCAAUGUCCUCAACUUGCUAUCUCAAAAACUCUUUCUUCCAUGUAGCCAGAAUGCCUCUUGGCAACACCACUAGUGGUCUAGCAUGGGGAUACUUGGCCAGAAAACUCUGCAUAAAACUAAUUGUCAUGAAAGCUUUACCAGAGCUUGGAGCGUGGGCCAUGAUGUAGCCACCUGGAUUCUCUGUAACCAAGUUACUCAGUAGAAAAUUGAAGCCCUCAACUUGAUGGGGUUUCAUCUGCUUUUUGUGCCUGGGAUGAGUAGCGAUUUCAGUGACAUCAAAAUCCUGUCCACAUAAUUUAACCCCAUCAUGAAAUAUUUCAGUUGCUUCCUUGUCCUUAUAGUCCAGCCUCCAUAAAAGUAUGUACAUGUAGACCUUGU
This is a non-coding RNA of Camellia sinensis, 1955 nucleotides long. The record is from RefSeq and is a predicted model, not a curated record. Lineage: Eukaryota; Viridiplantae; Streptophyta; Magnoliopsida; Ericales; Theaceae.